AAAGAAAGGAUCUCAAUUCGUUUUACGUUUUCAAGUUUCUAGUUAUACACUUUCUUAUCCAACUCCCUAUCAAAACCAUAUACCCUUCACAUAGGGCAACACUGGCUCAAAAAAUCGAGCCGCUGUGUUGACAGUUAUUGAUCGAUGAUAUUGUAAACACAAUGUCGAAAUUAAUUUUUAUUUUGCUCUCUGUUUUCGGGCUUUUCUCCGGUCUGAUCUGUUACCUUCAAUUGUACGAACUCAUUGUGAUGAAUUGUAAUUGACUUUUAUUUUGACUUCAGCGGUUGGUCUUAAUGAAUCCGCUUAAGCUGCCUCUAGUGCCGUGGACUUCCCCUUUUUCCUGUUCAUUUUCCACGUUCAGAAUGUCGGAGGGAGAGAGCAAAACGGUCCAAUAAGUGACACUGACUAAUUUGGAACCAUUAAUCUCGGAGCUGCUUAGCGUCAGUCACGCUGGUCGGGCAGCCAUCAAUACGCAUCAAAAUCGAAUGCGAAUAGUGCAUGUUUACAUGGAUAGAUGUGCAACACACCAGGGGACACACUUCUAGGUCAGCACGUACAUAUUUAUGUGAGCUUCAGAUAAGUGCUAUUAUUUUGACCGCAACUGUGGCCCAACAGUCUCCAUGACGAAUGUGUGACCGCUGCGUCUCGCUUGGGUGUCGGUCGUUUGGUGUUCCUGAUUUGCCUCCAUUUCUAAGCCCAGUGUGCAGUACUCAGAGCCCAUUCCGAUUUUCAUAGACGGGUCCAAGCGUAAGCCCACCCAUUCCCGUUCCCCAUUUCCGCGGACAUUGAGGCGAUUGCGGUCGUGGACUUGGACGUGGAUCUGAAUGUGAAUCUGGACGCCGACGUGGACAAGGCGUCCAAUCAAGCCGCGUGUCUGGCAGUCAACUAGUCACUCACUUUGGCCACAGAGACUGCGUCGGUCCGUCAGUCAAAUACUCGCUUUAAUUUCGACCUCCUCGCGAUUAGCGAAGCACCAGGAGAAAUAUGUUUGGCGAUUAAAACGUUUAUUUCCCGGUGUAUUGCUGCAUGAGUUGCUGGAGCUGCAUGACUACCGGGCAUAAUUUCUGCACCACCGAACGAAAUAUGGUAC
This is a long non-coding RNA of Drosophila mauritiana, 1090 nucleotides long. RefSeq lists it as uncharacterized. The record is from RefSeq and is a predicted model, not a curated record. The transcript has 3 exons. Lineage: Eukaryota; Metazoa; Arthropoda; Insecta; Diptera; Drosophilidae.